Molecule: ribosomal RNA, 509 nt
Filed under: uncultured bacterium
Lineage: Bacteria
Description: partial 16S ribosomal RNA
Rfam family: Bacterial small subunit ribosomal RNA
Source: RNAcentral
GACGAACGCUGGCGGCGUGCCUAACACAUGCAAGUGGAGCGACGAACCAGGCUUCGGCCUGGGGCAAAGCCGCGAACGGGUGAGUAACACGUGGGUAACCUGCCCCGAUGACCGGGACAACCCGAGGAAACUCGGGCUAAUACCGGAUGUGCUCCUCGCACGCAAGUGCGCGGAGUAAAGGAAGCUUCGGCCUCCGCUUCGGGAGGGGCCCGCGGCCCAUUAGCUAGUUGGUGAGGUAACGGCUUGCCAAGGCAACGAUGGGUAGCUGGUCUGAGAGGACGAUCAGCCACACUGGGACUGAGACACGGCCCAGACUCCUACGGGAGGCAGCAGUGGGGAAUCUUGCGCAAUGCGCGAAAGCGUGACGCAGCAACGCCGCGUGGGGGAAGAAGGCCUUCGGGUUGUAAACCCCUUUCAGGAGGGACGAAGGCACGGCGGUGAACAGCCGUCCGUGCUGACGGUACCUCCAGAAGAAGCCCCGGCUAACUACGUGCCAGCAGCCGCGGUAA